UACGUAGGGGGCAAGCGUUGUCCGGAUUUAUUGGGCGUAAAGAGCGUGUAGGCGGUUUGGUAGGUCCGUUGUGAAAACUCGAGGCUCAACCUCGAGACGCCGAUGGAAACCAUCAGACUAGAGUCCGGAAGAGGAGUGUGGAAUUCCUGGUGUAGCGGUGAAAUGCGCAGAUAUCAGGAAGAACACCCGUGGCUAAGGCGGCUCUCUAGUACGGUACUGACGCUGAGACGCGAAAGCGUGGGGAGCGAACAGG
Molecule: ribosomal RNA, 253 nt
Filed under: uncultured bacterium
Lineage: Bacteria
Description: partial 16S ribosomal RNA
Rfam family: Bacterial small subunit ribosomal RNA
Source: RNAcentral